CAUAUUAAUACUAUGCUCCAAUGAAAUGCAUCAUAACACAGACAAUUCACAUAAGGGUUGGGUGAACUUGUCACCAAUUAGUCCAAGUUAACAUAGUGCCAGGCCGUAGCAUGGGGUCCUGGUCUUCCUGUCAUAACAUACAUUACUUACCAUUUCCCCAGGGCCUCCUCUGGGCUCCUGGUCUUCGAGUCUCAUAACCGUGCCAGGCCGUAGAAUGGGGUCCUGGUCUUUCCUUACAUAGUGCCAGGCCGUAGCAUGGGGUCCUUGUCUUCCUGUCAUGGACUAAUUGGGUCAUCCAAUAUUCACCCACAUCAACAACAAUCGAUGCAAUGCGGCAUAUUCGUGGAAACUAAUGCAAUCAUCCUAUUGC
RNAcentral lists this long non-coding RNA (370 nucleotides) under Manihot esculenta (cassava). RNAcentral describes it as "long non-coding RNA (MESC_LNC008443)". Lineage: Eukaryota; Viridiplantae; Streptophyta; Magnoliopsida; Malpighiales; Euphorbiaceae. The record is from RNAcentral.